Molecule: ribosomal RNA, 1060 nt
Filed under: fungal endophyte
Lineage: Eukaryota; Fungi
Description: eukaryotic LSU rRNA
Rfam family: Eukaryotic large subunit ribosomal RNA (bases 471-1060)
Source: RNAcentral
AUCAUUAUAGAGUUUUCUAAACUCCCAACCCAUGUGAACUUACCUUUUGUUGCCUCGGCAGAAGUUAUAGGUCUUCUUAUAGCUGCUGCCGGUGGACCAUUAAACUCUUGUUAUUUUAUGUAAUCUGAGCGUCUUAUUUUAAUAAGUCAAAACUUUCAACAACGGAUCUCUUGGUUCUGGCAUCGAUGAAGAACGCAGCGAAAUGCGAUAAGUAAUGUGAAUUGCAGAAUUCAGUGAAUCAUCGAAUCUUUGAACGCACAUUGCGCCCAUUAGUAUUCUAGUGGGCAUGCCUGUUCGAGCGUCAUUUCAACCCUUAAGCCUAGCUUAGUGUUGGGAAUCUACUUCUUUUAUUAGUUGUAGUUCCUGAAAUACAACGGCGGAUUUGUAGUAUCCUCUGAGCGUAGUAAUUUUUUUCUCGCUUUUGUUAGGUGCUAUAACUCCCAGCCGCUAAACCCCCAAUUUUUUGUGGUUGACCUCGGAUCAGGUAGGAAUACCCGCUGAACUUAAGCAUAUCAAUAAGCGGAGGAAAAGAAACCAACAGGGAUUGCCUUAGUAACGGCGAGUGAAGCGGCAACAGCUCAAAUUUGAAAUCUGGCCCUUGGGUCCGAAUUGUAAUUUGUAGAGGAUGAUUUUGGUGCGGUAUCUUCCGAGUUCCUUGGAACAGGACGCCUUAGAGGGUGAGAGCCCCGUACGGUUGAAUGCCUAGCCUCUGUAAAUCUCCUUCGACGAGUCGAGUAGUUUGGGAAUGCUGCUCUAAAUGGGAGGUAAAUUUCUUCUAAAGCUAAAUAUUGGCCAGAGACCGAUAGCGCACAAGUAGAGUGAUCGAAAGAUGAAAAGCACUUUGAAAAGAGGGUUAAAUAGCACGUGAAAUUGUUGAAAGGGAAGGAUUUGUGACCAGACUUUUUCUGGGCGGAUCAUCCGGGGUUCUCUCCGGUGCACUUCGCCCAGUAAAGGCCAGCAUCGGUUUUCGGCGUGGGAUAAAAGCAGUAGGAAUGUGGCUCUCUACGGGGAGUGUUAUAGCCUAUUGUAUAAUACCGCGCUGGGGACCGAGGUUCGCGCU